This 104-nucleotide transfer RNA is filed under the name Phenylobacterium aquaticum. Its description in RNAcentral is "tRNA-Thr". It matches the Rfam family "tRNA". Rfam says of the family: Transfer RNA (tRNA) molecules are approximately 80 nucleotides in length. Their secondary structure includes four short double-helical elements and three loops (D, anti-codon, and T loops). Lineage: Bacteria; Pseudomonadati; Pseudomonadota; Alphaproteobacteria; Caulobacterales; Caulobacteraceae. RNAcentral also lists the same sequence under 1 other name. The record is from RNAcentral.
GGCGGCGUAGCUCAGCCGGAUAGAGCCCCCGUUUUCGACAGUCUAGGUGGGUCGCACCCCUAGUAUGGGCGGGGAGGUCGCGGGUUCAAGUCCCGCCGCCGCCA